ACUCCUACGGGAGGCAGCAGUAGGGAAUCUUCCACAAUGGACGAAAGUCUGAUGGAGCAACGCCGCGUGAGUGAAGAAGGGUUUCGGCUCGUAAAACUCUGUUGUUAAAGAAAGAACAUAUCUGAGAGUAACUGUUCAGGUAUUGACGGUAUUUAACCAGAAAGCCACGGCUAACUACGUGCCAGCAGCCGCGGUAAUACGUAGGUGGCAAGCGUUGUCCGGAUUUAUUGGGGCGUAAAGCGAGCGCAGGCGGUUUUUAAGUCUGAUGUGAAAGCCUUCGGCUCAACCGAAGAAGUGCAUCGGAAACUGGGAAACUUGAGUGCAGAAGAGGACAGUGGAACUCCAUGUGUAGCGGUGAAAUGCGUAGAUAUAUGGAAGAACACCAGUGGCGAAGGCGGCUGUCUGGUCUGUAACUGACGCUGAGGCUCGAAAGUAUGGGUAGCAAACAGGAUUAGAUACCCUGGUAGGAUA
This 471-nucleotide ribosomal RNA is filed under the name uncultured bacterium. Its description in RNAcentral is "bacterial SSU rRNA". It matches the Rfam family "Bacterial small subunit ribosomal RNA", at positions 335 to 797 of the family's 1533-position model. The record is from RNAcentral.